AUGCAAUUCUACUCCACAACACACUUUUAUCCUGAUGGGAAAAUUGUCUGGAUGUCUGAAGGUACUAGGUACCACUCUACAGUUGGUGAAUGGGCAAAAUUGAUCAAUGCACCUGAAGAGCAAGAGGAUGACAUAGAUGUAUAUGCCAAGAAGAAGAAGGAUCACAACUCCAUGGCAAAUAUGUACAAGGAGAUUCCUGACAAAGCCUUGGAAACUCACAAGAUGGGCUCUGUCUACUAUUUGCUGUCUGGUUUGACCACAAUCAACACUAUAUUGAGGCAUACAUUUUUGCCCCAAGUCUGGAGAUCAUAG
This 312-nucleotide ribosomal RNA is filed under the name Triticum aestivum (bread wheat). RNAcentral's name for it is "partial small subunit ribosomal RNA". The record is from RNAcentral. Lineage: Eukaryota; Viridiplantae; Streptophyta; Magnoliopsida; Poales; Poaceae.